RNAcentral lists this microRNA precursor (75 nucleotides) under Myotis davidii. RNAcentral's name for it is "mir-9193 microRNA precursor family". It matches the Rfam family "mir-9193 microRNA precursor family". Lineage: Eukaryota; Metazoa; Chordata; Mammalia; Chiroptera; Vespertilionidae. The record is from Rfam by way of RNAcentral.
CAUGCACUUGGGGGGGUCCCUCAGCCCGGAUUGUGAGAGGGUGCAAGUCAGGCCAAGGGACCCCACCAGUACACG